This 200-nucleotide unclassified non-coding RNA is filed under the name soil metagenome. RNAcentral describes it as "partial contains internal transcribed spacer 2 and large subunit ribosomal RNA". The record is from RNAcentral.
UUCGAGCGUCAUUACAACCCUCAAGCUCUGCUUGGUAUUGGGCGCCAUCCGUCUGGGUGCGCCUUAAAAUCAGUGGCGGUGCAUCUGGCUUCAAGCGUAGUAAAUUUUCUCGCUUUGGAGUUUAGUUGUGUGCUUGCCAGCAACCCCCAAUUUUAUCAAUGGUUGACCUCGGAUCAGGUAGGGAUACCCGCUGAACUUAA